UGAUCCUGGCUCAGGAUGAACGCUAGCGGCAGGCUUAACACAUGCAAGUCGAGGGGCAUCGCGGGUAGCAAUACCUGGCGGGCGACCGGCGAAAGGGUGAGUAACGCGUGAGCAACAUGCCCGGUAGCGGGGGAUAGUCGAUGGAAACGUCGCGUAAUACCCCGUAACACACGUCUUCGCAUGGGGAUGUGUUGAAAGAUUUAUCGCUACCGGAUUGGCUCGCGUACCAUUAGCUAGUUGGCGGGGUAACGGCCCACCAAGGCGACGAUGGUUAGGGGUUCUGAGAGGAAGGUCCCCACAUUGGAACUGAGACACGGUCCAGACUCCUACGGGAGGCAGCAGUGAGGGAAUAUUGGUCAAUGGCCGAGAGGCUGAACCAGCCAUGCCGCGUGCGGGAGGACGGCCCUAUGGGUUGUAAACCGCUUUUGUAGGGAGCAAUAAGUCCCACGUGUGGGAUGAUGAGAGUACCUUGAGAAUAAGCAUCGGCUAACUCCGUGCC
Molecule: ribosomal RNA, 499 nt
Filed under: uncultured bacterium
Lineage: Bacteria
Description: bacterial SSU rRNA
Rfam family: Bacterial small subunit ribosomal RNA
Source: RNAcentral